AUUGAACGCUGGCGGCAUGCCUUACACAUGCAAGUCGAACGGUAACAGGUCUUCGGAUGCUGACGAGUGGCGAACGGGUGAGUAAUACAUCGGAACGUGCCUAGUAGUGGGGGAUAACUACUCGAAAGAGUGGCUAAUACCGCAUGAGAUCUACGGAUGAAAGCAGGGGAUCGCAAGACCUUGUGCUACUAGAGCGGCCGAUGGCAGAUUAGGUAGUUGGUGGGAUAAAAGCUUACCAAGCCGACGAUCUGUAGCUGGUCUGAGAGGACGAUCAGCCACACUGGGACUGAGAAACGGCCCAGACUCCUACGGGAGGCAGCAGUGGGGAAGUUUGGACAAUGGGCGCAAGCCUGAUCCAGCAAUGCCGCGUGCAGGAUGAAGGCCUUCGGGUUGUAAACUGCUUUUGUACGGAACGAAAAGCCCCGGGUUAAUACCCUGGGGUCACGACGGUACCGUAAGAAUAAGCACCGGCUAACUACGUGCCAGCAGCCGCAGUAA
RNAcentral lists this ribosomal RNA (498 nucleotides) under uncultured bacterium. RNAcentral describes it as "partial 16S ribosomal RNA". It matches the Rfam family "Bacterial small subunit ribosomal RNA", at positions 30 to 523 of the family's 1533-position model. The record is from RNAcentral.